AAUGGCGGGUGCUUACCAUGCAAGUCGAACGGUGAAGCCCUUCGGGGUGGAUCAGUGGCGAACGGGUGAGUAACACGUGGGUAACCUGCCCUGAACUCUGGGAUAACUCCGGGAAACCGGGGCUAAUACCGGAUAUGAGCUGGAGCGGCAUCGCUCCGGCUGGAAAGUUUUUCGGUUCAGGAUGGACCCGCGGCCUAUCAGCUUGUUGGUGGGGUAAUGGCCUACCAAGGCUUUGACGGGUAGCCGGCCUGAGAGGGCGACCGGCCACACUGGGACUGAGACACGGCCCAGACUCCUACGGGAGGCAGCAGUGGGGAAUAUUGCACAAUGGGCGAAAGCCUGAUGCAGCGACGCCGCGUGAGGGAUGACGGCCUUCGGGUUGUAAACCUCUUUCAGCAGGGACGAAGCGCAAGUGACUGUACCUGCAGAAGAAGCACCGGCUAACUACGUGCCAGCAGCCGCGGUAAUACGUAGGGUGCGAGCGUUGUCCGGAUUUAUUGGGCGUAAAGAGCUUGUAGGCGGCUCGUCACGUCGGGUGUGAAAACUCGCGGCUCAACCGCGAGCCUGCACCCGAUACGGGCGGGCUAGAGUUCGGCAGGGGAGACUGGAAUUCCUGGUGUAGCGGUGGAAUGCGCAGAUAUCAGGAGGAACACCGGUGGCGAAGGCGGGUCUCUGGGCCGAUACUGACGCUGAGAAGCGAAAGCGUGGGGAGCGAACAGGAUUAGAUACCCUGGUAGUCCACGCCGUAAACGUUGGGAACUAGGUGUG
Molecule: ribosomal RNA, 768 nt
Filed under: uncultured bacterium
Lineage: Bacteria
Description: bacterial SSU rRNA
Rfam family: Bacterial small subunit ribosomal RNA
Source: RNAcentral